GAUGAACGCUGGCGGCGUGCCUAAUACAUGCAAGUCGAGCGAACCACUUCGGUGGUGAGCGGCGAACGGGUGAGUAACACGUAGGUGAUCUGCCCAUCAGACGGGGACAACGAUUGGAAACGAUCGCUAAUACCGGAUAGGACGAAAGUUUAAAGGUGCUUCUGGCACCGCUGAUGGAUGAGCCUGCGGCGCAUUAGCUAGUUGGUAGGGUAAGGCCUACCAAGGCGACGAUGCGUAGCCGACCUGAGAGGGUGAACGGCCACACUGGGACUGAGACACGGCCCAGACUCCUACGGGAGGCAGCAGUAGGGAAUCUUCGGCAAUGGGCGAAAGCCUGACCGAGCAACGCCGCGUGAAUGAUGAAGGCC
This 368-nucleotide ribosomal RNA is filed under the name uncultured bacterium. Its description in RNAcentral is "bacterial SSU rRNA". It matches the Rfam family "Bacterial small subunit ribosomal RNA", at positions 28 to 416 of the family's 1533-position model. The record is from RNAcentral.